RNAcentral lists this long non-coding RNA (759 nucleotides) under Daphnia magna. RNAcentral describes it as "uncharacterized LOC123467150". The record is from RNAcentral. Lineage: Eukaryota; Metazoa; Arthropoda; Branchiopoda; Diplostraca; Daphniidae.
AAACUCUUCACUUAAUAUGUCAAAUAAUAUCAUGUUGCUUAUUUUUCUUUGCAUUCCUUGAUUUCUUUUAUAGACAAAGUAGACUCUGAAUGAACCUGUGCCACCAUCUCCACAUGAAUGAGUUCAUUUGCUGCACAACCAACCAACCAACCACACACAGCAAACACCACAAUAAUUUGCAACCUUUGGGACAAAAUAACCCAGAAGUUCUAAACCCUUAAUUGAUCCAGCACUACCCCAUUUUUUUAAAUAACUACAAUAUUUAGGAAAAUUGUUCAAAGACAUCAAUUCGUUGGCAAACAAACCAUGAACUUUACUGAUACCUAUGCCCUAUUUAAUUUAGAAUUGCUCCCAAGUCUUCCACCAUAGCGAUCCGAUGCUCUACCAUUGAGCUACGAAUGACACCUGUAACACUUCUACUUCUUCGACACAUUAACAUAACUGCACGAGUUAAAUAGUCCCUCAGACGACAAUGGAAGGAUAUAGGAAGGCAAUGCUAGAAUGGUAUGGCAACCGACGCCUAAUUCGGUGGUUAGAUUCACAAUUAUGUUCCCCAGGAUCUUCCAAACAUCCUAGGAAGUAUACCAUUCAAGUGCACCAACAAUGUUGAGAAACAUACCAACAAUGACAAUACCAACUUUUGCCAAGUGAGUAAGUUGUGGGAUGAACAUGUUUUAAGAAUGGGUAAUAUAAGAGACAAACAUUUCUUUAAACAAAUGGACUUUUUGUCGAUUACAUUGCGCACUGCAUUUUACUUUA